ACAAGCUACCCAACCGGCGGCUUGAAGAUUGAAAAACGACCAGGAGGGGAGAAGAUAAUUGUCCAAGGAUACCCAAUUUCAGGAAAAAAAACCGGAUUUUCUAUUGUUAUCUCUUGUACGAAACAUAUGGCCGAUGCAAGGAAAGACUCGACGAGUAGCCACCAACACGAGGGCAGACGUGGACCUUUUAACAGCUCUUUUCUUAUUGACAUCAGCGAGACUUUCAAGAUUACAAUUUUUACCAAUCUACAUACACACACGGUAAGUGUAGACAACGAAUAUAGCUACAGCAUAGGUAACAACAUGGAUUGUUAUGACCACAUUGAAUUUACUGGUGAUGUCAAAAUUAUUAAAGUUUUAAUGUCAUGAAGAAUGUAAUGAGCACGUUAAUUUUACUGUUGAUGUCAAAAUUAUAACAGUUUUAUUGUCAUGAAAAGUACAAUGAGCAAGUUAAUUUUACUGAUGAUGUCAAAAUUAUUAAAGUUUUAAUGUCAUGAAGAAUGUAAUGAGCACGUUAAUUUUACUGUUGAUGUCAAAAUUAUAAAUGUUUUAAUGUCAUGAAGAGUGCAAUGAGCAAGUUAAUUUUACUGAUGAUGUCAAAAUUAUUAAAGUUUUAAUGUCAUGAAGAGUGUUAUGAAUAUCCCCGAGGCAUUCUGUUUAGUGCAGAUU
Molecule: long non-coding RNA, 669 nt
Organism: Physella acuta
Lineage: Eukaryota; Metazoa; Mollusca; Gastropoda; Physidae
Source: RefSeq, a predicted model, not a curated record